Amphimedon queenslandica is the source of this 893-nucleotide long non-coding RNA. RefSeq lists it as uncharacterized. NCBI's taxonomy places the organism in Eukaryota, Metazoa, Porifera, Demospongiae, Haplosclerida, Niphatidae. The transcript is spliced from 3 exons. The record is from RefSeq and is a predicted model, not a curated record.
GUAGUGGUAAGCCCAGUUGUGUUAGAUAAUAAGCAUAGGCCCUGUAUAUCUAGUGUCAGCACACAUGUAACUGUACAAGCCAUAUUGGUAACAACAGCUUUUUAAGGCAGGCAGGGAGGUGAGAGUUUGGCCACUAAAAACGUUUUAACCCCCAGUUCCAGUUCUCAAGACUGGACUGCCUAGCCUGCUGUUCACCACGGCUUCAUGCUAGCACAGUAAUUGUAAAAGUUUGUUUAUAUUGUCACAUGGUAUGACGACAAUUGGUGUCUCUGAGUCGUGAAAAGAGGGUCAAUGGCGGGAUGCUAGGUAGAUAGCCAGGAAAGAAGCCUAGGCGGGUAGGCAGACUAGGAGCAUCAACCGACUGUGGCCAACACUCUGACGUCUGACUAUCGACAAGAGUUGGGUGUAGUGUCCUCUCUUAAAUCUAAUGUCACACUUUUAUUUAAUCUCUCUCUCUCUAUCUCUCUCUCUCUCUCUCCCUCUCUCUCUCUCUCCACAGGUUAACUGUUCCUAUUUUAAAUACACUGCUAGAGCUAUUGUCUCUUGAUAAACACGGCAAUAAAGCUGAUAUUAUUGCAAGAAUACUGACCUUCCUAUCCAAACCUGUGGACAAUGGAAUACCUAUUCCUGAGCCAAAGAAAAGGAGAAAGUCAUCAAUUGAAAAGGCUGGUGGUGGCCCUACUAAGAAGAGUAAAGUAGACGAAGAUGAAGAAGCUGGUCCUGAGACUGAAAAGGACAAUAAAGGAGAGAAAGAAGACAAUGGAGAUAAAGACGAGAGUAAAAUGGAGACAGAAGAUAAAGAUGAAAGUAAAAUGGAGACAGAAGAAGAGAAGGCCCCAUCAGGAGCUACUGGUACUGACCCAGUAACAAACGAUCAAGAUGAUAGUAAAGAA